Molecule: long non-coding RNA, 3493 nt
Filed under: Equus caballus (horse)
Lineage: Eukaryota; Metazoa; Chordata; Mammalia; Perissodactyla; Equidae
Description: lncRNA (ENSECAG00000047932.1)
Source: RNAcentral
GUCAUGAUUCAGCUGACUACAAGUUAAGUUUGUACCAACAGAGUACUAUAGAGCUGAGUCUUUGACUUUAUGGAUAGAAACACAAUGUCUGGCCCUUGGGAAGUAACUCUUUCUCCUGUCUGACAACCUUCUCAAUUGUGCCUUUUCCUACCCUCUCUUCCACCAGUUUUUCAAAAGACAAAUCUACUAAUCUCUGAUGGUCUAAGAUCCAGCACAUUUACCCUUGGAUUGGGUGUCAGAAAGAGUGGAAAUUUUCCCCCUAAUUAUUUUUUAUAUAUUGAACCUCUGUAUUAGCUUUUCAAAAUGCAUUCUAAUUAUAUGCUAGCUCUUGUCUUCCCUCAUUGGAGAGAGAACAGAGAACCCCAUGAAGAAAUAUUUUCCAGCCCUUCUUGUGUUCCCAGUCCAUAGUAUAGUGCCUGGCACAGACCAGGCAUUUAAUACGGUUGAGGGAAUGAAUGAAUGGAUGAAUUAAUGAAUGAGGAGAGUUAGACAGAGCAUUAAUGUGAAAGAGCUGAAGGGACACAUGUAGAUAUGCAUUCUGCACAGGUGUAUGGAGAGCAGGUGUAACAGGUCUUAAAAAGAAAACAUACAACCCUGUUACUGUCUUCUCUGAGAAGUAAAUGGUCCAUUAGCAGCACUUUAUUCUUUCUACAUCCCCAAAUCAUAUGUGCACAGCCAGCAAAAAUUUCCCUACUGCGCUCCCUUGAAGCCUCGGGUGCCUUUCCCCGGAGCCUCCCUCCCCUGUGAUCUGUGAGGGAUUUGUGUCCCUCCCUGGGUAUUGUUCCUGGGAGGAGUCACUGGAGCGAUGCCUCUGGAGUCCAAUCUUCUGGUGUAAUCACAGCUGGGCAUCAGAUUUCAGAGCCCCAGGAUGGAUAAACACGUGGUCUCUCUCUCUUCAGGUUAGAAAGCUGUGAAUGCCCUGUCUGGCAGCCAGAAUAGGGGACUGUAAACUCAGAACUCAUGAAGAAAGCUCUGGUUAAGAGAUGAGCCCUGGGUGCUAUGCUAAGAGUCAGUGGUGUUGGGCUCUGAAAACCCUUCUUUCCACAGCUUUGUGUGGAGGACCAAAGAGGCCUGGGAUUGUGAUCUGUUCUCCAGUGAGGGGCAGCCAUUUCUAGUUUCCACCAUCCUGCUUUAUAAAGAAUGCUUUAUUACCAGUCAGUCUAAUUGUCCUAUGUUUACCUGAUAACACCAAAUGAAAGCGUGGAAGUUAAGUACAUUUUAUGUAAUAUUUUAAAAGCCAUGCAAGCAGAAUCAUAGCCAAACAAGGGUUAUGCUCCCAGUGGACAUGCAGUAAAUUCCUAUUGGUACCAAGGACUAGCAUGAAAUCCUUUAAUGUUUAAAAUGAAACUUACCCUUUGCUUUAUUGAGUGUUUUGACUGUAGAGUGUUCCUUGCGUUUUUUUACACAUCAAGGGCAUUAGGGCAGGAAUAAGAGUGAGGCAGUUCUGUGCUCUUAGAAUAAGCCAAGCCAAUAGCUAUGAUUACACCAGGAAGAAGUGUUUACUGUCUCCUCUGAUUGGGGCUAGAAAUGCCUAGAACUACAUUCUGAGAGGUUGAACGGGAAUAAUCACAAAAUAUAUUCCCUACCCUUUGAAACCGGAGAAGUCAACUAGAGAAUUUGUUUUUAUUACUUUCUUUUUACUUGGCCUCAAUUUCAUUAUUUUUUACAGCCUGUUUUUGCUCAUCAGAGUAAAAACAACUGGUCUCAGUUACUAUUGUUGUUAGUAGAAGUUGUAGUCAUAAUUUCCUUUGUUGGAUAGUUAUUCUGAGGAGGCAAUGUGCUGUGAACCACACGUAAUAAUCAUCUCACAAAAAUCUGAUACUCAGAGUCUGGCUUAUUCUUGGUCAGAGUUCCAUCAUCACAGCAGCUCAGUUCGAGUCAAUAAAUCUCUUCUAUCAGCAUGGCCAAUAGUAGCAUAGCAACAGGAAUUCCAAAUAAUAGGUUAUACUCACAGUUAAGUAGGGGUGACAUAUUGGUUCUGAGUCAUCUGUAUUUUCUUUAAAGGGACUAUGUCAAACAACUGUCUGCUGGUACUCAGCCCCAGGGCAACUUUUCUUUACUCCUUUUUGCACUGGUGGGGCUAGAAGCCUGAAAACUAUACUUCUUAGGUAUCCUUGCCAAUUGGGUGUCAACAGGCCCAGUUUGCCUGGGACUGAAGGUUUCCAGGGACAUGGGACUUCCACUGCUAAAACCCGAAAAGUUCUUGGUGAAAAGGAAUGAGUUGGUCACUUUAAUUGACAACUAAGCUUCUGUUACAUUAGUAGUAAGCACUCAACAUGGGAUUAGAAGACCUGAGGAAGGGAGAUGUCACUUCUGCUACUGGUAGCAGCAGUGAUGCGUGUGUGGACUCAGUAGUGGCAGGAGGGUGAACUCUUAAAGGGUGGUUGGGAAUGCCAACUCCUGCAAUCCGAAGUGAAAGCAGAGGCUCCCUGUACUUACAGAUGUCUGGGUAACAUGAACUUUCCUCUUCCGUUUCUUAGCCCUUCUAAUAUUGUGAAAUGAUCCCCUAUAUUAAUCUCUCUCUUCCCAAAAUACUCAUAGAUGUUUCUAUAUCUCUGAUUUAAUGUUGACUGAUAGAUAGUUCCAAUGAAAGACUGCUCCUGAAUAAUGGGAGAGACAAGAGUUAGAAGGGAAGUGAAGUGCUAAUCAGAGAAACUGUAGAAAGCUCAAUCAAACAGAUUUUUCCUAGAUGGCAGAAGUCAGGAAAUAGGAAUGAUGUAACUCUGAGAAUGCCUGGAGAACCAGGUUACCAGCACUGUAGUAGCAAUAUAUUCUAAGUUCUCUAGGUCUCUGUGAAAUAGGCUUUGGAUAUCCUUCCAAGAAUGACCCAGGAAUUAGAAGGGUCCUAAACCAAGAGGAAAAAAGGAAGAUGAGAUUCAUUCUACAUCUCUGCUUCUUCCUCAGUUUAGAUAUCACUUCCUUUGAUGGGGUACAUGGCCUUCUGAAUUGCUCCCUGGAAAUAGCCUUAGCAUGGUACUUCAUCAUAUGCAGUAACAUUUUAACUACGUGCCUGUCUCCAGCAUUGGAUUGUCAGCUCCUUAAGAUUGUGAUGUUACAUCUUCAUGGCUGAAGAGUGCUUGACAUGUGACUAGCCCUGAGCUAACAUCUACCAAUCCUCCUCUUUUUGCUGAAGAAGACUGGCCCUGAGCUAACAUCCGUGCCCAUCUUCCUCUAUUUUAUAUGUGGGAUGCCUACCACAGCAUGGCUUGCCCUGUGGUACCAUGUCUGCACCCAGGAUUUGAACCAGUGAACCCCGGGCUGCCAAAGUGGAAUGUGCGCACUUAACCGCUGUGCCGCCAGACUAACCAAAACCAGUUACAGAGACAAGAAAUAUCAUUGGGGAGAGGAGAACAAGAAUCUGUUUAUUCAACAACAUUUUGUGCUGGCUUUGUUUUUGAUGCUGGGGAUUCAGUGGUGAUAAAAUAAAACUAUGCCUCCAAUGGAACUUACGGUAUUGUGGAAUUCAAGAAAUAAAAAUGUUAUUUUCUGUUUC